GAUGAACGCUGGCGGCGUGCUUAACACAUGCAAGUCGAACGGUGAAGCAGAGCUUGCUCUGUGGAUCAGUGGCGAACGGGUGGGUAACACGUGAGCAACCUGCCCCUGACUCUGGGAUAAGCGCUGGAAACGGCGUCUAAUACUGGAUAUGAGCUGCGACCGCAUGGUCAGCAGUUGGAAAGAUUUUUCGGUCUGGGAUAGGCUCACGGCCUAUCAGCUUGUUGGUGAGGUAAUGGCUCACCAAGGCGUCGACGGGUAGCCGGCCUGAGAGGGUGACCGGCCACACUGGGACUGAGACACGGCCCAGACUCCUACGGGAGGCAGCAGUGGGGAAUAUUGCACAAUGGGCGAAAGCCUGAUGCAGCAACGCCGCGUGAGGGAUGACGGCCUUCGGGUUGUAAACCUCUUUUAGCAGGGAAGAAGCGAAAGUGACGGUACCUGCAGAAAAAGCGCCGGCUAACUACGUG
RNAcentral lists this ribosomal RNA (467 nucleotides) under uncultured bacterium. RNAcentral's name for it is "partial 16S ribosomal RNA". It matches the Rfam family "Bacterial small subunit ribosomal RNA", at positions 28 to 507 of the family's 1533-position model. The record is from RNAcentral.